This 573-nucleotide ribosomal RNA is filed under the name fungal endophyte. Its description in RNAcentral is "eukaryotic LSU rRNA". The stretch from base 214 to 367 matches the Rfam family "5.8S ribosomal RNA". Lineage: Eukaryota; Fungi. The record is from RNAcentral.
GUAACAAGGUCUCCGUUGGUGAACCAGCGGAGGGAUCAUUACUGAGUUUACGCUCUAUAACCCUUUGUGAACAUACCUAUAACUGUUGCUUCGGCGGGUAGGGUCUCCGCGACCCUCCCGGCCUCCCGCCUCCGGGCGGGUCGGCGCCCGCCGGAGGAUAACCAAACUCUGAUUUAACGACGUUUCUUCUGAGUGGUACAAGCAAAUAAUCAAAACUUUUAACAACGGAUCUCUUGGUUCUGGCAUCGAUGAAGAACGCAGCGAAAUGCGAUAAGUAAUGUGAAUUGCAGAAUUCAGUGAAUCAUCGAAUCUUUGAACGCACAUUGCGCCCGCCAGCAUUCUGGCGGGCAUGCCUGUUCGAGCGUCAUUUCAACCCUCAAGCUCUGCUUGGUGUUGGGGCCCUACAGCUGAUGUAGGCCCUCAAAGGUAGUGGCGGACCCUCCCGGAGCCUCCUUUGCGUAGUAACUUUACGUCUCGCACUGGGAUCCGGAGGGACUCUUGCCGUAAAACCCCCCAAUUUUCCAAAGGUUGACCUCGGAUCAGGUAGGAAUACCCGCUGAACUUAAGCAUAUC